Molecule: long non-coding RNA, 2907 nt
Filed under: Sus scrofa (pig)
Lineage: Eukaryota; Metazoa; Chordata; Mammalia; Artiodactyla; Suidae
Description: lncRNA (ENSSSCG00000060658.1)
Source: RNAcentral
AGAAUUGUAUCCCCAUGGACCCACCCGGGUAGGUUGGCUGCAAAAUAUACAUUCCAAUAGCUGAAUGAGUUGACCUGUUGUAUGGGGUUACUUAGUAUUGUUCAUUUAAAUACUGGAGAAUGUCUGUCAAAUACAAUGGUUUUCGUUGUAGCACAGUUGAUGUUAAACUGUUCUGACAGUAAGUAGGCAACAGGUUCUGCAGCUUCUAAAGGAAAAUCCUGGUUUGUGUUAAUAAAACCAUGUCAUCAGCAUGGAGAAGGCACGUACUCUGCUGUUUACUAUACCUCACAGCGUCCUGCCUGUUUAUUUAACAGCUGGAUCAAGUUAUAUGUGACUAAACUUGAUGCCAUUUUAGGACACUACCCUGUUGUAUACACUUAGAACUGGAAUUUUAUCCUACCCAGAAGAAACUCAGAAGGUACACAGGAUUACAGAAUUUAAUUCACAGAUUCAUCCAAAAGAUACUGAGUACACCACUGUUCUAGGAACUAGAGAUACAAUGAUGAAGGAGACAUGGUCUCUGACCUGGGAGAACUUAAGAUAUAGUGGAAAAGACAGGGAAAAUAAGUAUUACAACGUUUUCAAAAGGUUGAUGUGGCUGUCUAUCCUGGUGUCUCGGAUUCCUGAAAUUUUAUAAGCUUGAAGAGAAAUGAAAUUCAGUGGUAGUAUUAAGAUACAUGGUCUUAUGCGAGCACUAAAAAGGGAUCUGAUCAGAAAAUAAAAUCACCACAAGAAGUCUUUUUUGUUUGUUUUUAUGUCUGAUAUUUUUAAAAUUGAAAAGUAACACUUUGUUUACUGUAAAAAAUCAUCUACAGUCUCAUGAUUUCUUGGUGCAUAACUAUUUUUGUUCCGAAUAAUAAUACCUAAUACCUGCUCAUUCUUCAGGUAAAGUAUAUCCUGAAAGCUAAUUAGGAAGAAAGGAUUUGUUUGUCUAAGAGCAGGGGCAUUUGUUUUGUUUAAGCUAUAAGUGAUGAUAAAAAAAAGUUACUAAAUCCCAGCUUAGUAAGUGACAAAUCUAUAGGAUACAACAAGAUCAUCUCAUGGUUCUAGAGCUGAGGUAGACAACUUCUUAUACUAUUGGAGACUGGUACCACAAGGCCCCUUUCAAAGAAGUCUUCCAUGGACAACGCUUUUCCUAUACUGAUAUGCGUGAUAUACAUGAUUGCCUGUCAAUUCAGCCUAAUGUCAGUCUUUCACUGAAAUCAGUCAUAACCACCUCUUCCCCCCAAAAAAGACAAAGGAGUUACAAAAUUAUCUGAAUUUAGUAAGUCAAUGUUAUCACUCCACGUAAAACAUUUGAAGGACUGUCUUACAAAAUUUUCAGGGUAUAUCAGAAGUCUUUCUUGAACCACACAAAACAGUAAAGAUCAAUGUGAAAAAGCAGAUUUUUUUAUUUUGUUUAAUAUCAAAAGAAAUGCAUGCAAGUCUUUUUUUUUUUUUUUUAAAGGGCUUUUCCUCAGGACUAGCACCCCAGAAUUCAACACCAGGUUUUUCCUCUACCUAAUCUUGAUCUCUGACUUUGUGAAAAUAAUUUUUUUGUACCUAAGUUUUCUUAACCAAAAUGUCAUAUCAAUCACUAAGAGGUGAUGAAAACCAAAUCAUGACGAGGGAUUAGAGAGGAUAAAUAAGUUUAUAGUUUUAAGAAAAGAAUUAAGCUGGAGCUCCCAUCAUGGCUCAGUGGUUAACAAAUCCAACUAGGAACCAUGAGGUUUCGGGUUCAAUCCCUAGCCUUGCUCAGUGGGUUAAGGAUUCAGCGUUGCCGUGAGCCGUGGUGUAGGUCGCAGACGUGGCUCAGAUCCUGCAUUACUGUGGCUCUGUCAUAGGCCGGUGGCUACAGCUCCGAUUAAACCCCUAGUCUGGGAACCUCCAUAUGCCACAGGUGCGGUCCUAGAAAAAACAAAAAACAAAAUAAAAUAAAAUAAAAAACAAAUAAAAUGAAGAGUUAAAUGAUCUCCCGGGUCCAAUGUGGUUUAAAAUUAAUUCUAUUACCAUGUUAUUCUACUAUUGUUAAGAAUUAUGUCCAGAAACAUAAGAAAUAAAAUAGCAGAGAACAAACACAAAUAGUACACCAUAGCAAACAUCUCUAAAAUGCUUCUCAUUUAGCUUCUUCAAUAAGAAAAUGAAAUGUUACAGAAGCUUAGCUGGUUCUAAAAAGAUACUCUGAAACCUUAAGCCUGACUCAGGCCCAUGGUCAAGGAAUUAAUGUAGUUAGGACCACCACAAAGUGAUGUGGUGGCAGAGGAAGUCAUUUAGAGUAGAUUGGAAAGGAAUUUGCUAUUUUCCCCACUCUGACUUUAUUCAAAGCAGUAGAAAAAUUACUUCCCAAAAUUUUGAAAUUGUAUUUAAUAAUGAAAUGUCAAAGUAGAUACAGCAUUAGGUGUUUUUCUAGGCCGUUCAAAUGCUUCUUGGGUGGCUGAAGGCCUAUCUGAGGUGUGUAUUAAUGGCUUAGUACAAUGAAGUAUCUUAAUGGCAUAUUUACUGAAGCACUUAAUCUACUCUUUGGGGGUGAAGAGAUCAAGUGCAUCCCCAUUAAAGCACAGAGGCUCACUACAGACAGUAUAAUGGCUGCUACAGCCUGGAGUCCCUACACUCACCCUGCGGCUUGUUGAUAACCUCAACCUGUCAAAGUUACAACUUUUGUCACCCAGCAUUUUGAAUUAGAACCUAAGGCAUUUCAUCAAUACCUGUCAAUCCACACCCAGCAAAGAAAGCAAUACAGUGUCAAGCAAAGGAUUUAAUUUAACGAGCUGGCCAUAAACCUGUCAUGGGUUGUUUUUCCUUAGCCUCCCUUCUUUCACCACUUCCUAAGCCAAAUCCAACCAAACACACAGGGUUCAACAGAAUCACUCUGAAUUGAGAGAAAUCCCCACAGACUUCCCGCUACCCAUCUGUAUAACCUACUAGAGA